This 735-nucleotide ribosomal RNA is filed under the name Leochilus carinatus. RNAcentral's name for it is "eukaryotic LSU rRNA". The stretch from base 279 to 434 matches the Rfam family "5.8S ribosomal RNA". The record is from RNAcentral. Lineage: Eukaryota; Viridiplantae; Streptophyta; Magnoliopsida; Asparagales; Orchidaceae.
AGGAAGGAGAAGUCGUAACAAGGUUUCCGUAGGUGAACCUGCGGAAGGAUCAUUGUCGAGACCCGAAAAAAAUAUGGAGAGAUUUGAAAAACCCGUUAAAUGUGCCAACGACCGUCCCGGUCGUCGCCCCUGAAGCUCUUUUGAGGUGAAGGGGCACGGCGGAGGACGGAUGAACAACAAACCGGCGCAGCAACGCGUCAAGGGAAGAUUUAAAAUGCGCGAGCCCCGCGUCGGGCUCGCCGAUGUGGAUUGCUGGUGCACGCCAUGCGGAUAGACACGACUCUCGACAAUGGAUAUCUUGGCUCUUGCAUCGAUGAAGAGCGCAGCGAAAUGCGAUAUGUGGUGCGAAUUGCAGAAUCCCGCGAACCAUCGAGUCUUUGAACGCAAGUUGCGCCCGAGGCCAGCCGGCCAAGGGCGCGUCCGCCUGGGCGUCAAGCGUUGCGUCGCUCCGUGCUAGCCGUCCCUCUUAGGGGCAUGUCGGGCGAGGCUCGGAUGUGUAGGGUGGUUCGUCGUGCCCGUUGGUGCGGCGGGCUUAAGAGUGGGUUUUGUCUCAAUGGCCGCGAACAACAAGGGGUGGGUGCAAGCUCUGAGCGCAGCCUGCGUUGUCUCGUGUUGGCGCGAGAGAUGGAUUGUGCCUUUGAUGUGAUCCCCGACCAUGCGCCGCUUGGCAUGCGAUGGCUUGGAAUGCGACCCCAGGAUGGGCGAGGCCACCCGCCGAAUUUAAGCAUAUCAAUA